RNAcentral lists this ribosomal RNA (492 nucleotides) under uncultured bacterium. Its description in RNAcentral is "partial 16S ribosomal RNA". It matches the Rfam family "Bacterial small subunit ribosomal RNA", at positions 29 to 507 of the family's 1533-position model. The record is from RNAcentral.
AGUGAACGCUGGCGGUAGGCCUAACACAUGCAAGUCGAACGGCAGCACAGUAAGAGCUUGCUCUUACGGGUGGCGAGUGGCGGACGGGUGAGGAAUACAUCGGAAUCUACUUUUUCGUGGGGGAUAACGUAGGGAAACUUACGCUAAUACCGCAUACGACCUACGGGUGAAAGCAGGGGAUCUUCGGACCUUGCGCGAUUGAAUGAGCCGAUGUCGGAUUAGCUAGUUGGCGGGGUAAAGGCCCACCAAGGCGACGAUCCGUAGCUGGUCUGAGAGGAUGAACCGCCACACUGGAACUGGGGCACGGGCCAGACUCCUACGGGGGGCAGCAGUUGGGAAUAUUGGACAAUGGGGGGAAGCCUGGUCCAGCCAUACCGCGUGGGUGGAGGAGGCCUUCGGGUUGUUAAGCCCUUUUGUGGGGAAAGAAAAGCAGCAGGUUAAUACCCCGCUGUUCUGACGGUACCCAAAGAAUAAGCACCGGCUAACUUCGUG